UACGUAGGGUGCGAGCGUUAAUCGGAAUUACUGGGCGUAAAGCGUGCGUAGGCGGUUCGUUAAGUUCGUUGUGAAAGCCCCGGGCUCAACCUGGGAAUGGCAAUGGAAACUGGCGGGCUGGAGUAUGGCAGAGGGGGGUGGAAUUCCGCGUGUAGCAGUGAAAUGCGUAGAGAUGCGGAGGAACACCGAUGGCGAAGGCAGCCCCCUGGGCCAAUACUGACGCUCGGGCACGAAAGCGUGGGGAUCAAACAGG
This 253-nucleotide ribosomal RNA is filed under the name uncultured bacterium. RNAcentral describes it as "partial 16S ribosomal RNA". It matches the Rfam family "Bacterial small subunit ribosomal RNA", at positions 524 to 776 of the family's 1533-position model. The record is from RNAcentral.